This 73-nucleotide transfer RNA is filed under the name Candidatus Woesearchaeota archaeon. RNAcentral's name for it is "tRNA-Trp". It matches the Rfam family "tRNA". Rfam says of the family: Transfer RNA (tRNA) molecules are approximately 80 nucleotides in length. Their secondary structure includes four short double-helical elements and three loops (D, anti-codon, and T loops). The record is from RNAcentral. Lineage: Archaea; Nanobdellati; Candidatus Woesearchaeota.
GCAGGAGUAGUACAGAGGUCUAGUAUGUCGGCUUCCAAACCCGAAGACACGGGUUCGACUCCCGUCUCCUGCG